GGCGGACGGGGUGAGUAAUGCUUAGGAAUCUGCCUAUUAGUGGGGGACAACAUUCCGAAAGGAAUGCUAAUACCGCAUACGUCCUACGGGAGAAAGCAGGGGAUCUUCGGACCUUGCGCUAAUAGAUGAGCCUAAGUCGGAUUAGCUAGUUGGUGGGGUAAAGGCCUACCAAGGCGACGAUCUGUAGCGGGUCUGAGAGGAUGAUCCGCCACACUGGGACUGAGACACGGCCCCAGACUCCUACGGGAGGCAGCAGUGGGGAAUAUUGGACAAUGGGGGGAACCCUGAUCCAGCCAUGCCGCGUGUGUGAAGAAGGCCUUAUGGUUGUAAAGCACUUUAAGCGAGGAGGAGGCUACUGAGACUAAUACUCUUGGAUAGUGGACGUUACUCGCAGAAUAAGCACCGGCUAACUCUGUGCCAGCAGCCGCGGUAAUACAGAGGGUGCGAGCGUUAAUCGGAUUUACUGGGCGUAAAGCGUGCGUAGGCGGCUUUUUAAGUCGGAUGUGAAAUCCCCGAGCUUAACUUGGGAAUUGCAUUCGAUACUGGGAAGCUAGAGUAUGGGAGAGGAUGGUAGAAUUCCAGGUGUAGCGGUGAAAUGCGUAGAGAUCUGGAGGAAUACCGAUGGCGAAGGCAGCCAUCUGGCCUAAUACUGACGCUGAGGUACGAAAGCAUGGGGAGCAAACAGGAUUAGAUACCCUGGUAGUCCAUGCCGUAAACGAUGUCUACUAGCCGUUGGGGCCUUUGAGGCUUUAGUGGCGCAGCUAACGCGAUAAGUAGACCGCCUGGGGAGUACGGUCGCAAGACUAAAACUCAAAUGAAUUGACGGGGGCCCGCACAAGCGGUGGAGCAUGUGGUUUAAUUCGAUGCAACGCGAAGAACCUUACCUGGCCUUGACAUACUAGAAACUUUCCAGAGAUGGAUUGGUGCCUUCGGGAAUCUAGAUACAGGUGCUGCAUGGCUGUCGUCA
This 967-nucleotide ribosomal RNA is filed under the name Acinetobacter sp. Its description in RNAcentral is "bacterial SSU rRNA". It matches the Rfam family "Bacterial small subunit ribosomal RNA", at positions 97 to 1057 of the family's 1533-position model. The record is from RNAcentral. Lineage: Bacteria; Pseudomonadati; Pseudomonadota; Gammaproteobacteria; Moraxellales; Moraxellaceae.